RNAcentral lists this long non-coding RNA (2185 nucleotides) under Homo sapiens (human). RNAcentral's name for it is "HSALNT0090473". The record is from RNAcentral. Lineage: Eukaryota; Metazoa; Chordata; Mammalia; Primates; Hominidae.
UCUAACUACAGUUGCCUGCCUGCUUUUCGAGGAAGUUCUUAGUAGGGUUUGCGUCCUCAUCUGCCUUUCCAGACCAGCAGUUCCCAAAAGCCAGUGUGAGAACCAUCUGCAUCAGAGUGACCAGUCUGUGAAGAUCAAGCAUAGGAAUGCCAGGACUCCACCCUACAUGUCCUUUAUCUGGGGUGGUGCCCAGGCUUCCCGAUUAUUCUACCAACUCUACCAAAUCCUUGUUCUUCGUUGCACAAUUAGCUGUGAAACAGACAGAGGUUACCUACAAUAAGUGCAUGUCAUUUUGGACUAGCCAUAUUUCAAGGGCUCAGUAUGGCUAAUGGCCACUAUAUUGGACAUCGACGGUCAAACCCAUUUUACAUUCCCCUGACAACUAUGAUUGGUGUGAGGCCUAUGAUGGCCCAACUAGGCUGACAGCAAAGAUCUUUCCUGUUGGCAAAGAUCAUCUUUCUCUCUCCUGCUGGCAAGAACAAGAAAGAAUAAAGGUCUGAUCAACCCAUGAGCUUUCUUGGGAUUUAUGAGGAGAACCAGACUUUGGAUGAAACUGACAUUGAAAUGAGCAGGAUGGAGAGAAAAAUCCUAGGGGUUUGGUGACAAUACUGGGCUGCUGAUUAAACUUGGAGUUUGCCCUGACUCUGAACUUUCUAUUUAGUGAGAUAAUAAUUGUCUCAAUUGUUUAAGCUAGCUUGUGUUGCUUCCAGCUAAAAGAGUGCCAGCUAUAUACAAUGUGCAAGCUGACAUGUUGUCAUGCUCUGACACUGAUGAACACACCCCCACAAGGCUGUGAAGUAGUAGGGGAAGAACUAACCUGCAUGGAGUUGGAAGGGGGGGAAAAACAAAAUCAAACCAUAUGGAAAGCAGUUGAAUUCACUGCAUUAAAUAUACUUUUUAAAAUGUACAACAUAAUAGCCAUAUGUUUAAGUCAGAAUCAUCUGCAAAGCACGCAUGUUCACUUUCUGUUCCAGAGUCAGGCGUCUGAAUUCUGUGAGCAAAGCCUAGAGAAAAAAAACUAAGCCUAUGCCAGAUUUACAGGAAUAGUUAUCUUUAUAAAGACUAUAUGAACUGUAAUACAAAGUUACAAAGCUGAAGGCAAAGCUUUUCAAUAAAGCAAGUGGCUCUCAAAGAGAUACCUUCAAGAGUGUGGUUCUAUGUUUCCCACCUAGUGCUAAGUAAAACAUACAUUUCAAUUAGAAUUAGAAUGUACUUCAGGAAGUAAAUUAUUAAAUGACCUAGCACAUUUUGAUGUUUUUAAAAGCCCAAACUCCCAGCUGUGGAGAACAAUGAGUCUUUAAUGAUAAUUUAUUCCCCUCUUGUUCCCAUGAUUGCUAGAUAGCUGGGGGCCCUAGAUACUUAUUGGGCUCCAGGGACCCAAUGUGGGCAUUGUCAGAGGAGGAUACCAAUUAGCAGGUUUGGUUUCACAAAGAAGCAAAGAUUGCCCUGAGGUGAAAAACUCUGUCUCAGAGAAAACACCCUUGAACUUGAAUUGUCUUUUUUGCUCAUCAUUAGAAGUCAGCAAAGGAUUUAGCCUCUCCCUCACCAAUUCAUUAUCCACACUCUUCAGAAAAAAAAAAAUAAUAAUAAAAUAAAAUAUUUUCUCUUAUUAUGAAGGUGACAAUAAAGACAGUAAGCUUACCACAUGCAGAAAAGAGAGUGACCACUUUCUACUAGUUUUAAUGGCACUAUCACUGCUUCCAAAAAUUGCUUUAGGUCACUUACGGCCCCUGGAGAUAAACAUCUGAGGAUUCUGCAUAAGGUCCUUAAUGGGUGUUUUCAGGACAGCAUAAUUACCUGAGGCUUGUAAGAGUGAAAAGCAUCAGCCUCAAGGUUACUGAAUAAUGUAUGGUUGCCUGUUUGUCUAUUAGAGAGAGAUAAAGAAGAACAAAAAUCCAGUCACCAUAUGAAUCACAAUUUUAUUAUCUUUUUCAUUCAUUUAGUAUUUCAUUCAACACAUUUGAAAGCAUUUAUUAUGCACCAGGCACUGUACUAAACACUUUAGAUUCUAGUAUGAUUAAGACAGCAGAGUUCUACCCAUUGAGAUGUUCACAAUCUAGGUGGGGAAGGACAUGGAGAAUGAAGAAUAAGCAGACCAUUAAUUCCCAGAAAGGAGUAGGGUUACCUCUGGGCCCCUGCGGAGGUCAAUGAAGCUUUGUCUAUGGCCUUUAAGAGCUUUUCAUUU